Molecule: RNA transcript, 3467 nt
Organism: Nelumbo nucifera (sacred lotus)
Lineage: Eukaryota; Viridiplantae; Streptophyta; Magnoliopsida; Proteales; Nelumbonaceae
Gene name: muniscin carboxy-terminal mu-like domain protein
Source: RefSeq, a predicted model, not a curated record
UGUUUCAAUUAUUAACUUAUAAUUUGAUGCCCAUUUAUGUUUGAGAGAGUGUGAAUGUAAUUUAUAUAAUAGUAAUAUGUGGCACUAGUUAACAUUUCAAUUUGAUAUUUGAAACCUAUUUGUUAUUUAUGUGGCAUGAAUGCUAUUUGGGCUUUCUAAUUGGGUUGAGCCCAAUAGAAUGGCUCAAACCAUAUUAGAAUUUAGAAACAAACCAAACCAUACCAUUACGGUUUGGUCUGGUGUGGCUUCUAUACUAAAACAGUUUGAUUUUGUUUGAGAAUAUAUUUUUUUUUUGAUUUCUUUUGAAGGGCUACACAAUGGGGGUAGCCCAUCCCCCAACCCAUAAUCCCCCUCACAACCCAGGUGCAUGUGGGAUUUGAUCCCAAGUCUCCGCUACGACCAGCAGGAGACGUUACCAACCAGCUGGUUGGUACCUUGCGUUGGUUUGAGAAUUUUUCAAACCAUAAUUUAUUGGUUUGGUCUGAAAUCUUCUCCAAACUGAACCAAACCAGACCGUGAACACCCCUAACUUUUGUGCCUUGCCUUGUGCCUUGGGUGCAAAUUGCCCCUUGUGCUUUUAAAUCACUGGACAAUACUCCAUCUUCAACAGAAUCUUUCAAAUAACAAAUGCUACAAUGACAAGACCUUUCUGUCAGAGUUCAACCACAAAAUUACAUUAUAAACAAGAAUUUUUUCCAAUUGCAUAAUACUACAAGAAAAGGGAAUUUUAGCUACUGCCAUUUAGCCAUGGACAGAAAACUGUAGCUACAAGACAGGCUAUUGAUACAGGUGUAAAAUGCCUGUAGCUAAAUUUAAUUACCUUAAUCAUGAUGGGUUGCCUCAUUGCAGGGGUAAGGCUGUGUGCAUAUGUCCCUCUCCAGAUCCCACGUUGGCGGGAGCCUUGUGCACUGGGCUGCCCUUUUAUGUUUUAGAUAUGGACGCCAUAUCCAUGGCUAUAUGUUUGAUUCUAACCAGUCUUUAUAUGCAUGUAGUAAUAGAUCACACAUAUAAACCUACUAUUAUAUGGUAAAUUGAUAUUGCCAUGACCAAUCUUUAAUUGGCUAUAGCAGUAGCUUGUGUAAAUUUGGGUUGCGGUGACUAAACCCUAUGUAAGCUCUCUCCUGAAAAUGAAAACAUAUUUGAUUGUUGAACUAUCAUCCACUCCCUGAGUAUUUUAUCCUCCUACUGAUAAGGUAAGAGAUUAUGCAUGGGUUUACUGAAAACCCUCAUUCCUGCUCAUUGCUUUCCUUCUUAUUCUUUACAGUUGAAGGCCAUUCAAUGAAAAACCCAAUUUGACUCUUAAUCAACUCCUUAAAUGCCUUGCUCUUCAGAUAAGAACCAACAAAUAAUAGAAACAACAAGAAGAAUGUCUUGUUCUGUUUCAGUUGUGAACUCUCCUGUAUUCUUGCAAUCUAGGGUUUUAUACCUUUUCUGCAAGAAAACAGAUUUGUAGAUGGCAAAGAAAGAGAUCUACCAGGCUUGAUAUUUCUGGUUACUACAUUGAGUUUUGCCACGACAAGUCUUCUGUGGCACUUGAUGGGUGGAAAGAGUUAGAGAUUGGAAAGAUUAAUUCUCUGUUUAUUGUAAGAAAGGGAGGAAGGAGGUCAUGGAGGACUGAUAGUGGUUGUUAACCUUCAAGGAGAUUCAAAACAGGUAGACUCAAAAUUAUCUUUUAGUUUUAAAAAUCUUUUGAAUAUUGAUCUUGUUAGAAUUAGAUUGGUAAUGUUUACCAAAAAAAUAAAAUGGUUGGUAACGAAAGUUGCUGUAUGAAGUGAUUUUCCUUUUUGUCAUAUAAGUUAAAAAAGUUGCAAGAGUGCCCUUAUUCUUUUCAUUCUUGGCAAUGACCACAACAGUGAUCUGAAUUUUCUCCUCACAGCACUUGCAGCUGCACAUUGGGAACAUCUCCUAUACUUGUAUGUUGUCAAGCAUGGGGAGAUAUUCCCAAUGCACGACUGCAACAUGAUGCAAGGUUGGUGUGAGGAACAAAUCCGAAUUCCAACAAUGAAGGUAUGCAGUUGCAUCUCUCUCUCUAUCUCUCCUUCCCAGUUUUCUUGAAGCUUGGUUUUUUUGUCUUUCUACCAUUGCCCCCCCACCCCCCCAAAUCAGGAACCUCACCAGCAACUUGAUAUAGGGAAGACUAAACUGGCAACCAGGUAGUAACACUCUUGUUUCCUUGGCUUUGAUUUGUAUAGACAUUAGACCUGUUCACGGGCCAGGCUUUGGGCCUGACUUUACACUGCAUCAGGCAAGGGCUUCAGGCUGGGCCCAUUCAAAUUUUGGCAAAAGCCAAGCCCAAGCCCGGCCCAUGAACAGGUCUGAUAGACAUUAUCACAUCAGUACACACAUUGGUAAAAGCAAUAUCUACAUUUUGGGUUUGUGAUCUUCUAGGAUGAUGGUUCUGAUACUAGUGCUGAUAUUGUUACAACUUUCUGUCUUUAUCCUUUAAUUUCAGAUUUUCAUUGUUUCUACUUUCAGAGCCUGAUGAAAUAGGUAACUCUGUAUCCAUAUUCUCUUUCCUUUGAUCUUUUAUAAUCGAUACAGUAGCAUCAUCUAGUACCUUUGCUGUAUCAGUAGCAUCAAUGCUAUCUCUUUUAUCCCUUUACUGGUUCCUGCCACCAAAUUGAAAACAUCAGCUCUUCUUUCUCAUUCAAUGUGAAAAUGGGUCUGUCCUUAACAAGAUUGGACCUUCCAUUGGUCCCUUUUCAACACACUAACUAAUACUCCUUUGGAAUUUUUCACGCUUUAUAGAGGUGGUAUCAGGACAGUGUGGUACUUGAACCCUUUACUGGAAAUGUUGGUUUUGCCAUAUAAGAACCAGAAAUCCUGGCUUUGUUUUUUUGUAAACUCUUCUGUACCUUUUAACCUUUUUAUCUUUUUUUUUUUAUUUUUGGUGGGUAAAAGACUUAAACGUGUCUUCUGAUGUGAACAAAUGUAUGGUAGAUGUCUACUACCUUUUUUAUGUUGUUUGUCAAAGUAAUUAUUUACUUUGGAUUUAAUUAGCAUGUCUUUGUAGAAAGCUUGUUCUCACACACCAUAUUGAAUUUUCUUAUUUGCAGGCAUAUAAAUGCAGGUAUUAAAUCUAACAAAGUCUUGCGUUGACAUUUUCCUUUUCUUACUAUUUAUAGGAUAGCGAUUGACCAUUUUCAAUGGCUUGUCCAACAAUUUCCAAACUUCUGAAAUUCCUCUCCACAAUUACUCCCUAUGAUAGUACUUUCUUUGAUUGAGGGGCUAGGCAAAUGCAAGAACUUGGAUGGGAGAGUAAAUGCACAUAGUCAAUUGGCUUACCAGCAAUAAGGUAUUGUGGGUCAUUCUGAAAUAUUUUCCUGCCCAACUGGUACAUAUUAUUUUGGUUGGAAUAUAUGUAAAGAUUUUUUAUCGGCAAUAUUUCUUGGUUCUAAUACCUUUACCUCGUGGAUGUGAUUCUGAGUUUGAAUGUUGGCUCUAAAUGGAUAAACAUUAUCAUCUCA